CCUUCACACUCUUUACCUCAAUCGCUCCAUUUAUGUAAAAGAUGACAUAUAUGAAAGGUUACAUGCCAUGAUGCUUGCUUGCUUAGGUAUUUAGUUUUUUGGUUGAAAGGCCUUUCUUAAACCAAGCAAGCAAGCAAGAAAAAUUUUCAACCACCAUGAUGCUUACUUUUCUUAGUUUUUUGGUUGAAAAGUUUAUUUAUUAUGUUUUUAUUAUUGUUGAAAAAUUUGAUUUGUUAUGAUUUAUGUAUCCAACUCUUAUUUUAUUCAAUUUCUGUAAAGAACUAAUAU
Molecule: long non-coding RNA, 288 nt
Filed under: Elaeis guineensis (African oil palm)
Lineage: Eukaryota; Viridiplantae; Streptophyta; Magnoliopsida; Arecales; Arecaceae
Description: long non-coding RNA (EGUI_LNC024559)
Source: RNAcentral